This 853-nucleotide ribosomal RNA is filed under the name uncultured bacterium. Its description in RNAcentral is "bacterial SSU rRNA". It matches the Rfam family "Bacterial small subunit ribosomal RNA", at positions 28 to 896 of the family's 1533-position model. The record is from RNAcentral.
GACGAACGCUGGCGGCGUGCUUUACACAUGCAAGUCGAGCGAUGAGAUCCCUUCGGGGAAGGAUUAGCGGCGAACGGGUGAGGAACACGUGAGGAAUCUGCCUUCAACACUGGGAUAACUCCGGGAAACCGGGGCUAAUACCGGAUACGAGACCUGCAGGCAUCUGCGGGUCUGGAAAGUUUUUCGGUUGAAGAUGACCUCGCGGCCUAUCAGCUUGUUGGUGAGGUAAUGGCUCACCAAGGCGACGACGGGUAGCCGGCCUGAGAGGGCGACCGGCCACACUGGGACUGAGACACGGCCCAGACUCCUACGGGAGGCAGCAGUGGGGAAUAUUGGGCAAUGGAGGGAACUCUGACCCAGCGACGCCGCGUGCGGGAUGAAGGCCUUCGGGUUGUAAACCGCUUUCAGCAAGGAAGAAGCGAAAGUGACGGUACUUGCAGGAGAAGCACCGGCUAACUAUGUGCCAGCAGCCGCGGUAAUACAUAGGGUGCAAGCGUUGUCCGGAAUUAUUGGGCGUAAAGAGCUCGUAGGUGGUUCGUCACGUCGGAUGUGAAAAUCUGGGGCUUAACCCCAGACCUGCAUUCGAUACGGGCGAGCUAGAGUGUGGUAGGGGAGACUGGAAUUCCUGGUGUAGCGGUGGAAUGCGCAGAUAUCAGGAGGAACACCAAUGGCGAAGGCAGGUCUCUGGGCCAUUACUGACACUGAGGAGCGAAAGCGUGGGGAGCGAACAGGAUUAGAUACCCUGGUAGUCCACGCCGUAAACGGUGGGCACUAGUUGUGGGAACCUUCCACGGUUUCUGCGACGCAGCUAACGCAUUAAGUGCCCCGCCUGGGGAGUACGAUCGCAAGAUUA